This 159-nucleotide small RNA is filed under the name Streptosporangium subroseum. Its description in RNAcentral is "c-di-AMP sequence". It matches the Rfam family "c-di-AMP riboswitch aptamer (ydaO/yuaA leader)". From Rfam's summary of the family: This family represents a conserved RNA structure found upstream of the ydaO and yuaA genes in Bacillus subtilis and related genes in other bacteria. The ydaO/yuaA element is thought to act as a genetic "off" switch for the ydaO and yuaA genes in its native state. It is believed that the element may be triggered during osmotic shock leading to activation of ydaO, a predicted amino acid transporter gene, and members of the yuaA-yubG operon which code for KtrA and KtrB K+ transporters. The record is from Rfam by way of RNAcentral. Lineage: Bacteria; Bacillati; Actinomycetota; Actinomycetes; Streptosporangiales; Streptosporangiaceae.
UGCGGUGGCCUGCCGAAUUCAUGCAGCCAGGAGGCAUGGAACCGGGGACCCAAAGGGCCCUUAAAAGCGUGGCCAGGGGUGAAUCGGCGCAUUUCGCCGUAGGGCAUCUUCCCAGCCCGAAUCCGUCAGCUAACCCGGUAGGCAUCAGUGGAAGUCCCA